GGACUACACGGGUAUCUAAUCCUGUUUGCUCCCCACGCUCUCGCGCCUCAGCGUCAGUAUCUGUCCAGGUAGCCGCCUUCGCCACUGGUGUUCCUUCCGAUCUCUACGCAUUUCACCGCUACACCGGAAAUUCCACUACCCUCUACAGUACUCCAGUCAAUCAGUAUAAGAUGACCUUCCUAGGUUAAGCCCAGGGAUUUUACAUCUCACUUAAUCAACCGCCUACGCGCCCUUUACGCCCAGUAACUCCGAUUAACGCUUGCACCCUCUGUAUUACCGCGGCGGCUGGCAC
This 292-nucleotide ribosomal RNA is filed under the name uncultured bacterium. Its description in RNAcentral is "partial 16S ribosomal RNA". The record is from RNAcentral. RNAcentral also lists the same sequence under 1 other name.